This 301-nucleotide ribosomal RNA is filed under the name uncultured bacterium. Its description in RNAcentral is "partial 16S ribosomal RNA". It matches the Rfam family "Bacterial small subunit ribosomal RNA", at positions 509 to 808 of the family's 1533-position model. The record is from RNAcentral.
CAGUAGCCACGGGAAUACAGAGGGUGCGAGCGUUAAUCGGAUUUACUGGGCGUAAAGCGUGCGUAGGCGGCUUCUUAAGUCGGAUGUGAAAUCCCUGAGCUUAACUUAGGAAUUGCAUUCGAUACUGGGAAGCUAGAGUAUGGGAGAGGAUGGUAGAAUUCCAGGUGUAGCGGUGAAAUGCGUAGAGAUCUGGAGGAAUACCGAUGGCGAAGGCAGCCAUCUGGCCUAAUACUGACGCUGAGGUACGAAAGCAUGGGGAGCAAACAGGAUUAGAUACCCCGUAGUCCCUGUCUCUUAUACA